RNAcentral lists this ribosomal RNA (399 nucleotides) under uncultured bacterium. RNAcentral's name for it is "bacterial SSU rRNA". It matches the Rfam family "Bacterial small subunit ribosomal RNA", at positions 29 to 429 of the family's 1533-position model. The record is from RNAcentral.
AUUGAACGCUGGCGGCAUGCCUUACACAUGCAAGUCGAACGGUAACGCGGGGGCGAACCCUGGCGACGAGUGGCGAACGGGUGAGUAAUACAUCGGGAACGUACCCAGUAGUGGGGGAGUAGCUCGGCGAAAGCCGGAUUAAUACCGCAUACGACCUAUGGGUGAAAGCGGGGGAUCGCAAGACCUCGCGCUAUUGGAGCGGCCGAUGCCGGAUUAGCUAGUUGGUGAGGUAAAGGCUCACCAAGGCUACGAUCCGUAGCUGGUCUGAGAGGACGACCAGCCACACUGGGACUGAGACACGGCCCAGACUCCUACGGGAGGCAGCAGUGGGGAAUUUUGGACAAUGGGCGAAAGCCUGAUCCAGCCAUGCCGCGUGUGUGGAGAAGGCCUCGGUGUAAG